UACGGAGGGUGCAAACGUUGCUCGGAAUUAUUGGGCGUAAAGCGCACGUAGGCGGCCGACUAAGUCGGGUGUGAAAGCCCAGGGCUCAACCCUGGAAGUGCACUCGAAACUGGUCGGCUUGAAUAUGGAAGAGGGUCGCGGAAUUCCCGGUGUAGAGGUGAAAUUCGUAGAUAUCGGGAGGAACACCAGUGGCGAAGGCGGCGACCUGGGUAGAUACUGACGCUGAGGUGCGAAAGCGUGGGGAGCAAACAGG
Molecule: ribosomal RNA, 253 nt
Filed under: uncultured bacterium
Lineage: Bacteria
Description: partial 16S ribosomal RNA
Rfam family: Bacterial small subunit ribosomal RNA
Source: RNAcentral